This is a long non-coding RNA of Passer montanus (Eurasian tree sparrow), 1485 nucleotides long. RefSeq lists it as uncharacterized. The record is from RefSeq and is a predicted model, not a curated record. The transcript has 7 exons. NCBI's taxonomy places the organism in Eukaryota, Metazoa, Chordata, Aves, Passeriformes, Passeridae.
CGGUGACAACGGCAGUUUCUUAAGUACUGACAUUUGUAGCUGCAAUUAGCUGUGUGGUCUUGUUCCUCACUUUCCCUCCUGUUGUAUAGCACAGUGAUUUGUGCCAUCAUGCAGUGACUUGAAUCAGAAAAUUGAUCCUGACUUCGAGAGGGGUCUGUGGCAAGCAGCAGUUUCUAACCCAAGCUAGUUUCCCACUCUGGUCUAGUGGGUGGCUCCACCAGGAGAUGGGAUCAUGGCCUAAGGAUGAGAACAAGCAGCAGGAGGGUCCUCUCUCUUGAACUGGCAUUUUACUGAAUAGAUGCUCAUCAGAUUAUGCCUCUAGAAUCUGUGACUCAUCUUGCCCUCAAUUCAAUUACUUCAGAGGAUCUGUAAAUUUUCAAUAAUGGCAAUACAUUCAUUCUGCCAUUUGGAGGAGCCUGUGCCACAGAAUAAUGAUCUGAAGAAAGCUCACUCAUUUGCAAGGAAGAGUCUUCAUUUGGGAAUUAGCACUGAUGCAGCUCAAGGGUGCUUCUUCAAGUCCAGACUCCUCAGCAGAACUGUAAUUUUCCUAACACAGCCUCUGGUACAAGGAUGAAAUUGGGUUUUUGUCAAAGAACGGAGUCCUGUAUCUGAACAGUAAGAAGGUCCUUGACAUUCAGUGGGAUGAGAAUCUCAGAACUGACUACUGGGGACUCCCAAGCUACAGAUCAGUUCUAUAGGCAAUGCAGAAUGUGAGAGAAACAGCUGCAUCUGAAAUAGAUCAUCUGCUUUAAAAAAAACCAUUUUGGUAGGUGUGGGCUUCUUGUCAGAAAUCCGUUCCGAAGCUUGAGUGCAAAGGAAGCAGGGUACUAACGAUGAAUAAGAAUGGAUAUUUGAGGAUAACAAUGGAUACAGCAUCUUCAAAAGCAUUGGCAUUCUGGUCCUGGUCCUGCAACUGGAUUUGUUCAAAUGGACCUCGAUAGCCUGGGGGCCUGAUGAAGUUCAUGGGACUCUGGUGACUGCAGGUUCUCACUCUGAAGAUCUAAUUGUAGGCCUGAACCUAAAUUUCUAUUUUGUUCUCCUGUGUGUUUGCUUCUUAAAUGAUGAAAAUUAUCCUUUAAAAUGGUGUUGUCGUUGAGCCUCAUGCACAUCCACUUUAGUAAUGUUCCAACACUGUGUGCCUGGGAUGUUGUCAGACAUUGUUAAAUUAUUUCUGUUCUGUUGUGUGCCUAAACCUCAUGAUUGCUCUGAUUAUUGUGUUAGAUUUUUCCAUUUAGUGCCUUCCUACCUAAAAUGGAGGUGAUAAUCACCUGUAUUUGCAAUCGUUGUGGUAUUUCUCUUAACUCAGAUUUUUAAGUCAGAGUUACUGGUGAAACUGUUCAGGUUAUUUUUAAAGAUGUAGGUAGAUUUGUUUAUUUCUUGCUGGACACAAAGUAUAAUAAUUUAAUUUGCAAACUUGGUAACCUAGUAUUACUGAAAGCUUUCAAUAUGAUGAUACUCUGAUGUAAUAAAAUGAGUAGGAAAUGA